This 925-nucleotide ribosomal RNA is filed under the name Maribacter orientalis. RNAcentral describes it as "bacterial SSU rRNA". It matches the Rfam family "Bacterial small subunit ribosomal RNA", at positions 62 to 983 of the family's 1533-position model. The record is from RNAcentral. Lineage: Bacteria; Pseudomonadati; Bacteroidota; Flavobacteriia; Flavobacteriales; Flavobacteriaceae.
UCGAGGGGUAACAGGGAGCUUGCUCCGCUGACGACCGGCGCACGGGUGCGCACCGCGUAUGGAACCUACCUUCUACAGGGGAAUAGCCCAGGGAAACUUGGAUUAAUGCCCCGUGGUACCGCAUCAUGGCAUCAUGUUGCGGUUAAAGCCUCCGGGCGGUAGAAGAUGGCCAUGCGUCCCAUUAGCUGGAUGGUAAGGUAACGGCUUACCAUGGCUACGAUGGGUAGGGGCCCUGAGAGGGGGAUCCCCCACACUGGUACUGAGACACGGACCAGACUCCUACGGGAGGCAGCAGUGAGGAAUAUUGGACAAUGGAGGAGACUCUGAUCCAGCCAUGCCGCGUGCAGGAAGAAUGCCCUAUGGGUAGUAAACUGCUUUUAUACGGGAAGAAAAAGGGCUACGUGUAGCCUGUUGACGGUACCGUAAGAAUAAGGACCGGCUAACUCCGUGCCAGCAGCCGCGGUAAUACGGAGGGUCCGAGCGUUAUCCGGAAUUAUUGGGUUUAAAGGGUCCGUAGGCGGGCGAUUAAGUCAGUGGUGAAAGUCUGCAGCUCAACUGUAGAAUUGCCUUUGAUACUGAUCGUCUUGAGUUAUGGUGAAGUUGCCGGAAUAUGUAGUGUAGCGGUGAAAUGCAUAGAUAUUACAUAGAACACCGAUUGCGAAGGCAGGUGACUAACCAUAUACUGACGCUGAUGGACGAAAGCGUGGGGAGCGAACAGGAUUAGAUACCCUGGUAGUCCACGCCGUAAACGAUGGAUACUAGCUGUCCGGGUCCUUGAGACCUGGGCGGCCAAGCGAAAGUGAUAAGUAUCCCACCUGGGGAGUACGUUCGCAAGAAUGAAACUCANAGGAAUUGACGGGGGCCCGCACAAGCGGUGGAGCAUGUGGUUAAUUCGAUGAUACGCGAGGAACCUUACCAGGGCUUA